Molecule: long non-coding RNA, 373 nt
Organism: Cotesia glomerata
Lineage: Eukaryota; Metazoa; Arthropoda; Insecta; Hymenoptera; Braconidae
Exons: 3
Source: RefSeq, a predicted model, not a curated record
CGUGAGGCGUUGGACUUCCAUGAGCUGAACAACUUAAUUGGGAGCCGGUUGUGUUGGAAAAUACAAGAGUACUGGGUGGCUCUAGUACAAACACUGGACCUUGUUGACCAAAUACUGUUACAAAGAUAGUGGAGGAAUGCGGAGAAAUUCGGAGGAAUGGAGAAUCUACGUCACAGAAGCACACAUGAAAAUGACCGUGGGAUUGCUUGGGUUGUAUAUAUAUUUAUUACAUAGGUGAGUACAUAUAAACAUGAGUAUGUGGAGGUGAUAAAAGGGAAUAUGGCGGUAUAGACCGUCCAGAACGAUAUGUGGUGGUACAUACACUACCAACCCCCCUUUUCCCCUUUAAUAGUAUAGUAUUGAAGAGGAACAG